AACCUUGCCAACCUUGGCAAUAUCGUAACCAAUGAAGGUCUCCUGAGGUGUGAUUAUUAUUAGUUGAAAACUUUUACCAAAGGCC
This 85-nucleotide small nuclear RNA is filed under the name Rhodnius prolixus. RNAcentral's name for it is "U4 spliceosomal RNA". It matches the Rfam family "U4 spliceosomal RNA", at positions 1 to 83 of the family's 138-position model. Rfam says of the family: U4 small nuclear RNA (U4 snRNA) is a component of the major U2-dependent spliceosome. The structure of U4 snRNA from yeast and human has been reported. The record is from Rfam by way of RNAcentral. Lineage: Eukaryota; Metazoa; Arthropoda; Insecta; Hemiptera; Reduviidae.